Molecule: ribosomal RNA, 331 nt
Filed under: uncultured Butyrivibrio sp.
Lineage: Bacteria; Bacillati; Bacillota; Clostridia; Lachnospirales; Lachnospiraceae
Description: bacterial SSU rRNA
Rfam family: Bacterial small subunit ribosomal RNA
Source: RNAcentral
GAUGAACGCUGGCGGCGUGCCUAACACAUGCAAGUCGAACGGAGAUGAAACGCUGUCGAGACUUCGGUCAAAACUUGUUUUAUCUUAGUGGCGGACGGGUGAGUAACGCGUGGAGAACCUGCCUCGUACUGGGGGAUAACAGUUGGAAACGACUGAUAAUACCGCAUAAGCCCACGAGACCGCAUGGUCAUGAGGGAAAAGAUUUAUCGGUACGAGAUGGAUCCGCGUUGGAUUAGCUUGUUGGCGGGGUAACGGCCCACCAAGGCGACGAUCCAUAGCCGGCCUGAGAGGGUGAACGGCCACAUUGGGACUGAGACACGGCCCAGACUCC